UACGUAGGGGGCAAGCGUUGUCCGGAAUCAUUGGGCGUAAAGAGCGUGUAGGUGGCCCGUUCAGUCCGCCGUGAAAGUCCAGGGCUCAACCCUGGAAUGCCGGUGGAUACUGCCGGGCUGGAGUCCGGAAGAGGCGAGUGGAAUUCCUGGUGUAGCGGUGAAAUGCGCAGAUAUCAGGAGGAACACCAAUGGCGAAGGCAGCUCGCUGGGACGGUACUGACACUGAGACGCGAAAGCGUGGGGAGCAAACAGG
This 253-nucleotide ribosomal RNA is filed under the name uncultured bacterium. RNAcentral describes it as "partial 16S ribosomal RNA". It matches the Rfam family "Bacterial small subunit ribosomal RNA", at positions 524 to 776 of the family's 1533-position model. The record is from RNAcentral.